AGUGAGGAAUAUUGCGCAAUGGAGGCAACUCUGACGCAGCCAUGCCGCGUGCAGGAAGAAGGCGCUACGCGUUGUAAACUGCUUUUAUCCGGGAAGAAACCCCAGGACGUGUCCUGGGUUGACGGUACCGGAGGAAUAAGCACCGGCUAACUUCGUGCCAGCAGCCGCGGUAAUACGAAGGGUGCAAGCGUUAUCCGGAUUCAUUGGGUUUAAAGGGUGCGUAGGCGGAACAAUAAGUCAGCGGUGAAAUCCUGCAGCUCAACUGUAGAAUUGCCGUUGAUACUGUUGUUCUUGAGUACGCUUGACGUGGGCGGAAUGUGCCGUGUAGCGGUGAAAUGCUUAGAUAUGGCACAGAACACCGAUAGUGAAGACAGCUCACGAAGGCGAAACUGACGCUGAGGCACGAAAGCGUGGGGAUCAAA
RNAcentral lists this ribosomal RNA (422 nucleotides) under uncultured Flavobacteriales bacterium. RNAcentral's name for it is "bacterial SSU rRNA". It matches the Rfam family "Bacterial small subunit ribosomal RNA", at positions 353 to 772 of the family's 1533-position model. Lineage: Bacteria; Pseudomonadati; Bacteroidota; Flavobacteriia; Flavobacteriales. The record is from RNAcentral.